Molecule: ribosomal RNA, 571 nt
Filed under: uncultured Wolbachia sp.
Lineage: Bacteria; Pseudomonadati; Pseudomonadota; Alphaproteobacteria; Rickettsiales; Anaplasmataceae
Description: bacterial SSU rRNA
Rfam family: Bacterial small subunit ribosomal RNA
Source: RNAcentral
ACGCCCUACGGGGGAAAAAUUUAUUGCUAUUAGAUGAGCCUAUAUUAGAUUAGUUAGUUGGUGAGGUAAAGGCUUACCAAGACAAUGAUCUAUAGCUGAUCUGAGAGGAUGAUCAGCCACACUGGAACUGAGAUACGGUCCAGACUCCUACGGGAGGCAGCAGUGGGGAAUAUUGGACAAUGGGCGAAAGCCUGAUCCAGCCAUGCCGCAUGAGUGAAGAAGGCCUUCGGGUUGUAAAGCUCUUUUAGUGAGGAAGAUAAUGACGGUACUCACAGAAGAAGUCCUGGCUAACUCCGUGCCAGCAGCCGCGGUAAUACGGAGAGGGCUAGCGUUAUUCGGAAUCAUUGGGCGUAAAGGGCGCGUAGGCGGGUUAGUAAGUUAAAAGUGAAAUCCCAAGGCUCAACCUUGGAACUGCUUUUAAAACUGCUAGUCUAGAGAUUGAAAGAGGAUAGAGGAAUUCCUAGUGUAGAGAUGAAAUUCNUAAAUAUUANGAGGAACACCNGUGGCGAAGGCGUCUAUCUGGUUCAAAUCUGACGCUGAGGCGCGAAGGCGUGGGGAGCAAACAGGAUUA